RNAcentral lists this ribosomal RNA (373 nucleotides) under uncultured organism. RNAcentral describes it as "partial 16S ribosomal RNA". It matches the Rfam family "Bacterial small subunit ribosomal RNA", at positions 527 to 896 of the family's 1533-position model. The record is from RNAcentral.
GUAGGUGGCAAGCGUUGUCCGGAAUUAUUGGGCGUAAAGCGCGCGCAGGCGGUCCUUUAAGUCUGAUGUGAAAGCCCACGGCUCAACCGUGGAGGGUCAUUGGAAACUGGGGGACUUGAGUACAGAAGAGGAAAGCGGAAUUCCAAGUGUAGCGGUGAAAUGCGUAGAGAUUUGGAGGAACACCAGUGGCGAAGGCGGCUUUCUGGCCUGUAACUGACGCUGAGGCGCGAAAGCGUGGGGAGCAAACAGGAUUAGAUACCCUGGUAGUCCACGCCGUAAACGAUGAGUGCUAAGUGUUAGGGGGUUUCCCGCCCCCUUAGUGCUGCAGCUAACGCAUUAAGCACUCCGCCUGGGGAGUACGGCCGCAAGGCUG